AUUGAACGCUGGCGGCAGGCUUACCCCAUGCAAGUCGAGCGCGCGGCGGACGGGUGAGUAAUGUCUGGGAAACUGCCUGAUGGAGGGGGAUAACUACUGGAAACGGUCGCUAAUACCGCAUACCAUCAGAUGUGCCCAGCUGGGCUUAGCUAGUAGGUGGGGUAAUGGCUCACCUCGGCGACGAUCCCUCGCUGGUCUGAGAGGAUGCCCAGCCCCACUGGAACUGAGACACGGUCCAGACUCCUACGUGAGGCAGCAGUGGUGAAUAUUGCACAAUGGGCGCAAGCCUGAUGCAGCCAUGCCGCGUGUGUGAAGAAGGCCUUCGGGUUGUAAAGCACUUUCAGCGAGGAGGCGUUACUCGCAGAAGAAGCACCGGCUAACUCCGUGCCAGCAGCCGCGGUAAUAC
Molecule: ribosomal RNA, 406 nt
Filed under: uncultured bacterium
Lineage: Bacteria
Description: partial 16S ribosomal RNA
Rfam family: Bacterial small subunit ribosomal RNA
Source: RNAcentral